UUGUGCAGAGAAGGUGGCUGCUUGUGCAGAGAAGGUGGGCUGCUUGCUCAUCCUUAUCCUACUUUGAGCUCUGCCAUUCUCCUUUAAGAAAUAAGUGGGUUUUUUUGUUUUUUGUUUUUCUCUCCCCACACAUUCUAGUACAUUUUUUUUUUUUCUGGCCUUGCCUGGAACAGCUCACCUUUUCUGGCUCUGCAAGAUAGGAGAAACCUUUUGAAUGCAGCUGCUUGUUUGGGCUGAUAGAGGGGCCUGAGCAGACAUUUAUUCAUUCCUUUUAGAAGACAGGCUCUUCUCUUCCCUCUGGAGUUACCUCUUGCCAAAGUGGCUGCUGUCUGGCAACCAGGCAGUCUGGGAUGGUCAAGUUUCAAAUGUCACCACGCAAAUGGCAGUUCCAAGGAUGGAAAUGCCAAACCUUAAAUGUCCCUCAAAUACAUGUUUUCCCAAGUAGUGAUUUGCCACAGAAAUAAACAGCAAUUACUCAGAAGUGCCCCGUCUCUGCACCUCUGUUCCCCUACCAGUGUUCCAAAACCAUUACGCAGAGUACUUUGCAAUGAAAAGAUGUCUCGGUGUGGCCUGCUUAGUAUUUUGAAGCAUAGAAAUGGAAGAUGGUAGGGCACAUAUUCUGCAGAACCAAUAAAUGACAGAAUCAUCACUGGCCUAGUUUUCCGAGUCACUGUGACAGACACAAGGGAUUGCUUUUAAAGCUGCUGAUGACACAUCAAGAAGAGGGAAGAGGGUGUCUCUGCUUUAGAAAAGAAACUUGAAUCUUCUUUCUGACUUAGAAAUAAGUUUUGAAUUCAGACUUUUUUUUUUCAAAGAUGAUGCACAGAAAAUAAAAGGCAAAUGACAGGGAACUUACCUGAAAACCCUGAUAGAGAAACCUUACCCAAUAGCCUGUGAAGACACUAGCAGAGAGAAUGGGGCACAUUUUUUUGCUAUUUAGGGUGCUGGGGAUGGCAUCAGUGACUGCUGGGGAAAUUUCGCCACAGAGCAAUGAGCCAAGGAAAACAUUCCUAUUUAACUAUUAUAGGCUGCUGUAAUUCAGUCUCCUCACCAUGAACAGCAAAUGAGUCAAGCUAACUAAUGCAGAAGGUUGGACUCGUUUUCUCUUGAGGAGCCCCAGGAGGAUUUCCAUAGUGUCUUUUUGCUUGCGCAACCCAGUUCUUUUCUUGCUUGUGGAGUUACUAAUCCAGCUCCAGGUGUGGUUGAGAUCAGGAGAAAUGAGAGGAUGAGCUCCCAGGAAUUGCUGGGCCAGCUUUUGAUGGUCUGAGAGAGGUGAGUGAACCUUCUGGGGGGCCAGUGAUGUCUUUAACAUUUACCCCUUGGGGAAAGUGGGUAGCUCAAGUUGUUUGACCCUUACACACAAAUCCCAGUUGAAAGGAAAAAAGUCUCCCCCCGCCCCACCAUCAUGCAGACCCUUUCACUGAAGCAAACAUAUCAGAAAAUAAUCCAUACUAUAUGCCCUGGUUGAAUCAUUGUUUUAUAAGGUCCCUGGGAUAAUCUCCCUUUGAGACUCUUGCUUUAUAUCCAAACUUUUUUCUUUGGUUACUAGACUGUCUACUCAAUUAGUUGAAGCUUACAGACUUUAAAGGAAAAGGCUGGAGUUCCUGUUGUGGCUCAGUAGGUUAAGAACUGGCAGAGUAUGAGUAUGCGGAUUUGAUCCCUGGCCUUGCUCAGUGCGUUAAGGAUCAGGUGUUGCUGUAACUGCAGUGUGGGUCCCAGAUGUGGCUCAGAUCCGAUAUUGCUGUGGCUGUGGCCCCAGUGGCAGCUCCGAUUUGACCCCUAGCCUGGGAACUUCCAUAUGUAGCAGGCAUGGCAAAAAAAAAAGAGAGAGAAGCAGUAGUUUGAGUUUUGAUGCCAUAUACAGGUUUGGCAGCUUUAGGAACUAAUAUAGAACUCCCUUUUAAGUACGAAUUACAGAUAAACUGAAUAUUUUAGUAUAAGUAUAUCCAAAAUAUUAUAUGGGUCAUACUUACACUAAAAUUGUUCACUGUUCAACUGAAGUAUUUACGCUAAAAAUCCUUGUUCACCUGAAAUUCAGUUUUACCUGGGAGUUCAAUAUUUUAUCUGGCAAAUGUAGCACAAUACUAAAUUAAAACAGUAAAAUUAUAAUGGGAUCUUAGAUAAAUACUUUUAAGGGACUGGAUGGGGGUGUGAGAGGGAUGCAUUUACUUGUGUCUGGGCACCCCGGCUUCUGAACACCAGGCUAUCCUUGUUGAGAAGGCCUUCUCCUGUUGUCCUGGCAACAGAACUGCCAAUGGCCAUCCCUCUAGUUCAGCCUGGGGUGCUGCUGUUACCCCUAGGGAGAUCUGCUGGAGAGGAGCUGUUUCUCCCCAGGCUCCGAGGAGACCUGCAGACCCUGAACAACAACACCUCCCCUAUGGAGAUGUAGCAUGUUCUGCCAGGAGUGAGGGGAACUUAGACUGUUUCAUCCCAUUUUUGAUUUGGAAUCUUCUCUUUUUCCUACUGGGACUAGGAAAAAAAGAAAGCUGUAUCAGGGCUUAAACUUUACGUGCACUCACACUCUGUGUUUUCUGUGUAAUGGCUGGAAGUUCAUCUUGAAUUAGAUUCAUGCAGACAUUCAUGCAGAACAGAGUGGUAUAAGUAUCACAGUGAAGGGUGACAUUGGCUGUGGAAGGGUUGUUUGCUAACAACUUUUCAGCUUAAGGGACGUUAUUUUGUGGAAUUAUGAGUGAAUGAAUUUUUUUUUUUUUUUGUCUUUUUAGGGCCACCCCCAUGGCCUAUGGAAGUUCCCAGGCUAGGGGUGGAAUUGGAGCUGCAGCUGCCGGCGUACGCCACAGCCACAGCAGUGCUGGAUCCACGCUGUGUCUGCAACUUACACCACAGCUCACAGCAGCACCAGAUCAUUAACCUACUGAAUGAGGCUAGGGAUCAAACCCAUGUCCUCACGGAUACUAGUCGGGUUCAUCACCAUUGAACCAUAAUGGGAACUCCUGAAUGAAUUUUAAAAAAAUUGAUUACUCUAGUUCCGGGGCAGAAUUUCUUCUUCUUCUUCUACACUUUUUUUAAAAUUAUAGUUGAUUUGCAAUGUUGUGCCAAUUUGAAUUUUUAAAACUGAUUUAACUUGGGAAAGAUGACAUUUUUGACAGGUCUUAAAGUGAGAAAAUGAAGUUGGAAGGGGAAUGUUUCUGAUUGUCCAAUAUUUUCUUCAUUCUCUGAACUCACUGAUUCACAUUAAAAGAGCUUACUGAGCACCUACCGUGUACGGAGCACAGCUCUGAGUACUCAGUGGUGAAUAUGACAUGAUUCCUAAAGGUACUUGGCUGCUUGCAGUUGGUUGAAAGCCUGGCAGAAGAGACAUAUAAAUCGUUGAAGAUAAUGCAGUAUAACAAGUGCUGUGAAAGUGGUAAUUUGAGAUUGUUUUUAAGUGUAUGAGGAGGGGCUAGUCCCAGACUGGGUGGCAGAGGGAAGAAUAGAAGUUUUCUUGGAGGAGGUGGUAGUUAAAACGGCCUCUGAAGGGGAAGGAGGAUUUGUGCAGAAGAACUGGAGGAAGGUUUUUCCAGGUAGAGCGGGAAGCAUAUGUACUGGCCCUGGGGGAGGACUCAUUGUGAUAGAAGUGCAGGUGGCCAUCCAGAAGUAUUACUGUAUGUGGGGACAAGCAGGGUAGAGUAAAGUGAGGCUGGAAAGAUGAGAUGGGCCACAUCUCCAAGAGCUGCUUGGAAUAAUCAGGGAUUUGGAUGUUAACCUGAGAGCAUCUGGGGGUCCAGCAAGGUCGUUCCAUCAUGGGAGCAGCAUGGCCAGAUCUGCAUUUUAUUUUAUUUUUUUAACUUAAAGUUUUUUUUUAAAUUAAAGUAUAAUUGAUUUACACUGUUGUGUCUAUUUCUGCUGUUUAACAUAGUGACCCAGUCAUACAUAUAUACACAUUCUUUUUCUUGUAUUAUCUUUCAUCAUGUUCAUUUAGAGUCAUCACUCUGUCUGCAGGGUGGAGACAAGAGAGGCAGGAGGCAGGACUUGCAUCAGGUGAUGGGUUUGAGGACAGUGUCAGUCACCCAAAGUGGGCAGGAGGGUGGUCAGAACAAGAUGUCAGAAGUGGAGAGGAAGAGAAGUGGGCGGGGAGUUGGGGGGGACUUUGGUUUGGGAGAUUGAGAUGAUUGGCCUUGAGUGGCCGUGUGGAUUUGACGUGUGGGAGGUGUCAGGCAACCAGGAGACAAGAAAUGCAAGGAAAGACAAAUUGGGACUAUGCAUGAAGAAGCGAAAAGUCAUUGUGUUGCUUUAGAAAUUCCUCAGAGCAAGUGGGAUGACCACCUACCUCAGUUCCAUUACACCCAAUAGCCCUUCUUUGACUGCUUAAUGUGGGCCAGGGACUAGGGGCACGAGGAUGCUGCCAGGGCUUUCCCCUGCCCUGUGGAAGCUCUUGGGAAACCGUGGACCUCAUGGUCUGCUGAGGGAGAGGGACACACAUAUAUAUGUUCACCAUAAUAAUGUGAGGCUUAGGCAUUUGUAUUCAUUAAAGUCGUUUUGCUUGCUUCUAACAGAAAACCCAGGUCCACUGGACCUGAGCAAUAAAAUUUUCUCUUAUAUAACAUAUCCAUCCAGCUUGAUAGGGUUCAUGCUAGCUCUAAUAUAUUGCAUCAGAUAAGUCAAAAAGGACCCUUUCUCAGUUUCUCAUACUUUUAUAGAGUCAGUGUCUUUCUCAAACUGUCAUCUUCUCAUGUUUGCAAGAAGUUUUGCUUUUCCUUUUCCUUUUCCAGCCACUCUCUUAAGAAGAACAGAUUAGCUGCUUUCUCCAGAACAAACAGCACACUUCUCCUCUUGCAUCUUUGUCUUGAUCUAUAUCUGAAUCAUUAGUUGCAGCCAGGGAUUUGGAUAACUGGUUUGUCUGAGCUGCAUACCCUCAACAAUGUAUGCUGCACAGGGGGUGUGUGGAUAUAUGUGGGUAUAUGGGUCCAAAUAAGAAUUUGCGAAGUGAAGUUCCCAUUCUGGCUCAGCAGGUUAAGGACCUGACUAGUUUCCAUGAGGAUGCAUGUUUGAUCCCUGGCCUCACUCAGUGGGUUAAUGGAUCCGGCGUUGCCAUGAGCCGUAGAGCAGGUUGCAGAUGUGGCUGGGAUCUGGCAUUGCUAUGGCUGUGGCACAGGCCAGCAGCUAUAGCUCUGAUUCGACCCCUAGCCUGGGAACUUCCAUAUGCUGCA
RNAcentral lists this long non-coding RNA (5147 nucleotides) under Sus scrofa (pig). RNAcentral's name for it is "lncRNA (ENSSSCG00000053750.1)". Lineage: Eukaryota; Metazoa; Chordata; Mammalia; Artiodactyla; Suidae. The record is from RNAcentral.